GAGGUGGCUGGAGACGAGUGUAGAGCGGGGUUUCUACAGUUGGGUUUUUAUAUUUCGGGGUGGUGUUAACCCAUUCGCUAAGCGAUACACUUUUGGGCCGGUUUCAGACGAGUGUAAAAUGUCCUGUGCCCUGAGGAUUUGCUCAGACAACCACAAGCUUAGCCAGAGAAAAAGCUGUGAGAGACUGCACCACAGAGACAGCACCUAGCUGAGAGAACUUGCUUCACACAGGACAGAGACCUGCUGGCAGAGACAAACACGGAGUCCAGACAUCUGGUUAAUACAGUGAGAGGAGACUGCUGAUGGACUGACCUAGUUAGUGGUUUGAGGCCAUUGACAUAUCGUCGAAGUUAACAUGUGAGGAGCGGAUAGAAAUUGUGUUGAUGUCUGGUGAACGCAGUAACCGGGUUAUUGCAGCAGAUUUCAAUGUAAGACACUCUAUGAGACCACCCAUCUCCCAUGCUACAGUUAGCAAACUGCUUGCUAAGUUUUGUGAAGCUGGUUCAAUGUUGGAUUUGCCAAAGUGUGGAUGCAUGAAAUUUGUCACUAAUGAAGAAACAACAGUGGCUGUCCUAGCUUCAUUCAGCAAGAGCCCACAGCAUAGCACUCGCUGCAUGUCACUGGAGAGUGGCAUUAGUCGAACAUCCCUUCGGCGGAUAUUAGCUACUCACAAAUGGCACCCUUACAAACUCCAGCCACUGCAGCAUCUCAACGAGGUGACCCAGAUCGGCGCACUGAAUUUGCAGAAUGGGCAAAACGAAAAUUGGAACAGGACCCUCAGUUCACGCAGAAGAUUUUGUUCAGUGAUGAGCCAAACUUUUAUGAGAAUGGGGAAGUUAACAAACAAAACCACCGCUAUUGGUCUGACACUAAUCCACAUUGGAUAGAUCCCUCCAAGACUGUUGGAACACAAAAAUUGAUGGUAUGUUGUGGUAUAUGGGGUACAAAGGUAUAUGGGGUCAUUCUCCAUCAAUGGAAACCUCAAGGCCACUGGAUAUGCGAAAUUGCUACAUGAUGAUGUGUUUCCCUCUUUAUGCACUGAAGCUGGCAUGUUCCCUGAGUUUUUUCAGCAAGAUGGUGCACCACCACAUUAUGGGUGUCAGGUCCGAGCAAUCCUAGAUGAACAGUUUCCUGGAAAGUGGAUUGGUCAUCGUGGGCCAGUUGAUUGGCCCCCAAGGUCUCCCGAUCUGACCCCCUUAGACUUUUAUCUUUGGGGUCAUCUGAAGGCAAUUGUCUAUGCUGUGAAGAUACGAGAUGUGCAGCACCUGAAACUACGGAUACUGGUAGCCUGUGCUAGCAUUUCUCCUGCGGUGUUGCUAUCAGUGUGUGAAGAGUGGGAGAAGAGGGUUGCAUUGACAAUCCAACACAAUGGGUAGCACAUUGAACACAGUUUAUAAGUGGUCAGAAACUUGUAAAUAACUCAUGAAAGAAUAAAGUUACG
This is a long non-coding RNA of Hyla sarda, 1441 nucleotides long. RefSeq lists it as uncharacterized. Lineage: Eukaryota; Metazoa; Chordata; Amphibia; Anura; Hylidae. The record is from RefSeq and is a predicted model, not a curated record. The transcript is spliced from 3 exons.